This 301-nucleotide ribosomal RNA is filed under the name uncultured bacterium. RNAcentral describes it as "partial 16S ribosomal RNA". It matches the Rfam family "Bacterial small subunit ribosomal RNA", at positions 509 to 807 of the family's 1533-position model. The record is from RNAcentral.
CAGUCGCCGCGGUAAUACGGAGGGAGCUAGCGUUGUUCGGAAUUACUGGGCGUAAAGCGCGCGUAGGCGGUUACUCAAGUCAGAGGUGAAAGCCCGGGGCUCAACCCCGGAACUGCCUUUGAAACUAGGUGACUAGAAUCUUGGAGAGGUCAGUGGAAUUCCGAGUGUAGAGGUGAAAUUCGUAGAUAUUCGGAAGAACACCAGUGGCGAAGGCGACUGACUGGACAAGUAUUGACGCUGAGGUGCGAAAGCGUGGGGAGCAAACAGGAUUAGAGACCCCCGUAGUCCCUGUCUCUUAUAC